AACGAACGCUGGCGGCACGUUUUAAGCAUGCAAGUCGAAUGGCAGCAGAGGCAACUCUGUGAGAAUGGCGAACGGGUGAGUAACACGUAGGUGAUCUGCCUUGAGGAUGGGGAUAGCCUGUGGAAACACAGGGUAAUACCGAAUGAGCUGACGAGACUUUGGUUUUGUUAGUAAAGGUGCUACGGCACCGCCUUGAGAGGAGCCUGCGGCUGAUUAGCUAGUUGGUGGGGUAAGAGCUUACCAAGGCGACGAUCAGUAGCCGGCCUGAGAGGGUGUCCGGCCACACUGGAACUGAGACACGGUCCAGACUCCUACGGGAGGCAGCAGCUAAGAAUCUUCCGCAAUGGGCGAAAGCCUGACGGAGCGAUGCCGCGUGAUCGAUGAAGGUCGAGAGAUUGUAAGGAUCUUUUCUACAUGAGGAAUAAGUCUGGGAGGGAAUGCCCGGAUGAUGACGUUAGUGUAGGAAUAAGCCCCGGCUAAUUACGUGCCAGCAGCCGCCGUAA
Molecule: ribosomal RNA, 503 nt
Filed under: uncultured bacterium
Lineage: Bacteria
Description: partial 16S ribosomal RNA
Rfam family: Bacterial small subunit ribosomal RNA
Source: RNAcentral